AGCGAACGCUGGCGGCAGGCCUAACACAUGCAAGUCGAACGAACUCUUCGGAGUUAGUGGCGGACGGGUGAGUAACACGUGGGAACGUGCCUUUUGGUUCGGAAUAACUCAGGGAAACUUGUGCUAAUACCGAAUGUGCCCUUCGGGGGAAAGAUUUAUCGCCAUUAGAGCGGCCCGCGUCUGAUUAGCCAGUUGGGGAGGUAACGGCGCACCAAGGCGACGAUCAGUAGCUGGUCUGAGAGGAUGACCAGCCACACUGGGACUGAGACACGGCCCAGACUCCUACGGGAGGCAGCAGUGGGGAAUCUUGCGCAAUGGGCGAAAGCCUGACGCAGCCAUGCCGCGUGAAUGAUGAAGGUCUUAGGAUUGUAAAAUUCUUUCACCGGGGGCGAUAAUGACGGUACCCGGAGAAGAAGCCCCGGCUAACUUCGUG
RNAcentral lists this ribosomal RNA (433 nucleotides) under uncultured bacterium. RNAcentral describes it as "partial 16S ribosomal RNA". It matches the Rfam family "Bacterial small subunit ribosomal RNA", at positions 29 to 507 of the family's 1533-position model. The record is from RNAcentral.